AAAUUCGAAUCGACAUUCGACC
This 22-nucleotide microRNA is filed under the name Ascaris suum (pig roundworm). RNAcentral describes it as "asu-miR-5360-3p". The record is from miRBase by way of RNAcentral. Lineage: Eukaryota; Metazoa; Nematoda; Chromadorea; Rhabditida; Ascarididae.